This 1417-nucleotide ribosomal RNA is filed under the name Escherichia coli. RNAcentral's name for it is "partial 23S ribosomal RNA". It matches the Rfam family "Bacterial large subunit ribosomal RNA", at positions 130 to 1591 of the family's 2925-position model. Lineage: Bacteria; Pseudomonadati; Pseudomonadota; Gammaproteobacteria; Enterobacterales; Enterobacteriaceae. The record is from RNAcentral.
AGUGUGUUUCGACACACUAUCAUUAACUGAAUCCAUAGGUUAAUGAGGCGAACCGGGGGAACUGAAACAUCUAAGUACCCCGAGGAAAAGAAAUCAACCGAGAUUCCCCCAGUAGCGGCGAGCGAACGGGGAGGAGCCCAGAGCCUGAAUCAGUGUGUGUGUUAGUGGAAGCGUCUGGAAAGGCGCGCGAUACAGGGUGACAGCCCCGUACACAAAAAUGCACAUACUGUGAGCUCGAUGAGUAGGGCGGGACACGUGGUAUCCUGUCUGAAUAUGGGGGGACCAUCCUCCAAGGCUAAAUACUCCUGACUGACCGAUAGUGAACCAGUACCGUGAGGGAAAGGCGAAAAGAACCCCGGCGAGGGGAGUGAAAAAGAACCUGAAACCGUGUACGUACAAGCAGUGGGAGCCUCUUUUAUGGGGUGACUGCGUACCUUUUGUAUAAUGGGUCAGCGACUUAUAUUCUGUAGCAAGGUUAACCGAAUAGGGGAGCCGAAGGGAAACCGAGUCUUAACUGGGCGUUAAGUUGCAGGGUAUAGACCCGAAACCCGGUGAUCUAGCCAUGGGCAGGUUGAAGGUUGGGUAACACUAACUGGAGGACCGAACCGACUAAUGUUGAAAAAUUAGCGGAUGACUUGUGGCUGGGGGUGAAAGGCCAAUCAAACCGGGAGAUAGCUGGUUCUCCCCGAAAGCUAUUUAGGUAGCGCCUCGUGAAUUCAUCUCCGGGGGUAGAGCACUGUUUCGGCAAGGGGGUCAUCCCGACUUACCAACCCGAUGCAAACUGCGAAUACCGGAGAAUGUUAUCACGGGAGACACACGGCGGGUGCUAACGUCCGUCGUGAAGAGGGAAACAACCCAGACCGCCAGCUAAGGUCCCAAAGUCAUGGUUAAGUGGGAAACGAUGUGGGAAGGCCCAGACAGCCAGGAUGUUGGCUUAGAAGCAGCCAUCAUUUAAAGAAAGCGUAAUAGCUCACUGGUCGAGUCGGCCUGCGCGGAAGAUGUAACGGGGCUAAACCAUGCACCGAAGCUGCGGCAGCGACGCUUAUGCGUUGUUGGGUAGGGGAGCGUUCUGUAAGCCUGUGAAGGUGUACUGUGAGGUAUGCUGGAGGUAUCAGAAGUGCGAAUGCUGACAUAAGUAACGAUAAAGCGGGUGAAAAGCCCGCUCGCCGGAAGACCAAGGGUUCCUGUCCAACGUUAAUCGGGGCAGGGUGAGUCGACCCCUAAGGCGAGGCCGAAAGGCGUAGUCGAUGGGAAACAGGUUAAUAUUCCUGUACUUGGUGUUACUGCGAAGGGGGGACGGAGAAGGCUAUGUUGGCCGGGCGACGGUUGUCCCGGUUUAAGCGUGUAGGCUGGUUUUCCAGGCAAAUCCGGAAAAUCAAGGCUGAGGCGUGAUGACGAGGCACUACGGUGCUGAAGC